Molecule: non-coding RNA, 1603 nt
Organism: Vicugna pacos (alpaca)
Lineage: Eukaryota; Metazoa; Chordata; Mammalia; Artiodactyla; Camelidae
Source: RefSeq, a predicted model, not a curated record
GCCAAACUGGGAAAGGAGAGGACUCACAUCAACAUUGUGGUCAUCGGACAUGUAGAUUUGGGCAAGUCUAUCACCACCAGCCAUCUGAUCUACAAAUGUGGUGGCAUCGACAAGAAAACCAUCAAAAAGUUCGAGAAGGAGGCUGCCGAGGUGGGAAAGGGCUCCUUCAAGUAUGCCUGGGUCUUGGACAAACUGAAGGCAGAACGUGAGUGCAGUAUCACCAUUGAUACCUCCCUGUGGAAAUUCGAGACCAGCAAGUACUACAUGACCAUCAGUGCUGCCCCAGGACACAGAGACUUUAUCAAAAACAUGAUUGCAGGCAUAUCUCAGGCUGACUGUGCUGCCUGAUUGUGGCUGCUGUUGUCGGUGACUUUGAAGCAGGGAUCUCCAAGAAUGGGCAGCCCCGUGAGCAUGCCCUUCUGGCUCACACUCUGGGUGUGAAACAGCUAAUCAUUGGUGUUAACAAAAUGGAUUCCACUGAGCCACCCUACAGCCAGAAGAGAGAUGAGGAAAUUGUUAAGGAAGUCAGCACAUACAUUAAGAAAAUUGGCUACAACCCUGACACCAUAGCAUUUGUGCCAAUUUCUGGCUGGAAUGGUGACAACAUGCUGGAGCCAAGUGCUAACAUGCCUUGGUUCAAGGGAUGGAAAGUCACCUGUAAAGAUGGCAAUGCCAGUGGAACCAUGCUGCUUGAGGCUCUGGAUUGCAUCCUGCCACCAACUCAGCCAACUGACAAGCCCUCACAUCUGCCCCUCCAGGACAUCUACAAGAGUGGUGGUAUUGGUACUGUCCCUGUGGGUCGAGUGGAGACUGGUGGUCUCAAACCUGGCAUGGUGGUCACCUUUGCUCCAGUCAAUGUUACAACUGAAGUCAAGUCCGUUGAGAUGCACCAUGAAGCUUUGAGUGAAGCUCUCCCUGGGGACAAGGGGGCUUCAACAUCAAGAACGUUUUUGUCAAGGAUGUCCGUCGUGGCAACGUGGCUAGUGACAGCAAAAAUGAUCCACCGAUGGAAGCAGCUGGCUUCACAGCUCAGGUGAUUAUCUUGAACCACCCGGGCCAGAUCAGUGCUGGAUACGCACCUGUGCUGGAUUGUCACACACCUCACAUUGCUUGCAAGUUUGCUGAACUGAAGGAGAAGAUUGACUGUCAUUCUGGGAAAAAGCUGGAUUGUCACACACCUCACAUUGCUUGCAAGUUUGCUGAACUGAAGGAGAAGAUUGACUGUCAUUCUGGGAAAAAGCUGGAAGGUGGCCCCAAGUUCUUGAGAUCUGGUGAGGCUGCCAUUGUUGACAUGGUUCCUGGCAAGCCCAUGUGUGUUGAGAGCUUCUCUGACUAUCCUCCUCUGGGCCAUUUUGCUGUCCGUGACAUGAGACAGACGGUUGCUGUAGGUGUCACCAAGGCAGUGGACAAGAAGGCAGCUGGAGCUGGCAAGGUCACCAAGUCCACCCAGAAAGCUCAGAAGGCUAAAUGAGUAUUAUCCCCAGUACCUGCCGCCCCAGUCUUAAUCAGUGGUGGGAGAACGGUCUCAGAACUGUUUGUCUCAAUUGGCCAUUUAAGUUUAAUAGUUAAAGACUUGUUAAUGAUAACAGUGCAUCGUAAAACC